RNAcentral lists this ribosomal RNA (626 nucleotides) under uncultured archaeon. RNAcentral's name for it is "bacterial SSU rRNA". It matches the Rfam family "Archaeal small subunit ribosomal RNA", at positions 250 to 879 of the family's 1478-position model. The record is from RNAcentral.
UAACAAGCCAAGGAUCAGUAAGGGCUCUUAGCGGAGAAGCCCUGAGAAGGAAUCUUAGACACUAUUCCUAGCUCUACGGGGUGCAGCAGUUGAGGAACUUUUACAAUGCGCGCAAGCGUGAUAAAGCAAGCCAGAGUGUUUAGCUUUGCUAAACUUUUGUCUGCUGUAAAAAGGCAGACGAAUAAGGACUGGGCAAGACCGGUGCCAGCCGCCGCGGUAAUACCGGCGGUCCAAGUCGCAUCCACAUUUAUUGGGUCUAAAACAUCCGUAGCUUGCUUUGCAAGUCUCUUGUGAAAUCUCAUAUCUCAAGUAUGAGACGUGCAAGAGGUACUACAAAGCUAGAGACCGGAAGACGUAAGGAGUACGAUUAAGGUAGCGGUAAAAUGUGUUAAUCUUAAUCGGACUAACAAUGGCGAAGGCACCUUACGAGUACGGAUCUGACAGUGAGGGAUGAAGGCUAGGGGCGCAAAAGGGAUUAGAUACCCCUGUAGUCCUAGCAGUAAACGCUGCUCACUAAACAUCAGUGCCUCCUAGAGAGGCAUUGGUGCUGUAGGGAAGCCGAAGAGUGAGCUACCUGGGAAGUAUAGUCGCAAGGCCGAAACUUAAAGGAAUUGGCGGGGGAGCAC